Molecule: long non-coding RNA, 679 nt
Organism: Juglans microcarpa x Juglans regia
Lineage: Eukaryota; Viridiplantae; Streptophyta; Magnoliopsida; Fagales; Juglandaceae
Exons: 3
Source: RefSeq, a predicted model, not a curated record
CUGUCUACAGUGUUUCUUCUUCCUCUCCAUCUUAUUUUCGGAUCUUCCCUUCUACAAGUCAGCAAACGCCACCACUCAUUUCUCCAUCUUCGGCUAGUCUAUCCAUGAGCCUCCAUUGUUGUGCUUUCUCUUAAAUCUUCCUUACUAAUUUCGUGGCUCAUACUUGUGAUUUAUUUCCAUUGCAUUCCCUUUUUUUUGGUCUUUAACUGCUCUGUUUUGCCUUAUUGUCGUGCCCUAUUUUUGCCAUAAAAGCCGUGAGCUUCACUUGUUUCUUGGUGAUUUUGGUGCUUGCCGUGAGUGCAUCUUCUGCCAUCGCUUGUUGCCUCUCGGUUUCCCUUGGAUGGAGAACAAGAAUAUGAAGUAUUGGAACAAUCUGAUGAUCAUAGAUGAAUGAGCGCUAAGGGUACGAGUAUUUUGGAGGAUCAUAUUUAGUAGUUUUAUCUCUAGCGGUUAUUUUGGUACGUCAAGUUAUGAUUAAUUUGGGUCUUUGUGGAGACGUUAUUUGUUAUAUUGAGGUUUUUGUUUAGUAUUUAUGUGGAAGGAUACAGAUUUUUGGAUCGAACAAAUAAGUUACGUAUUUUGGGGAGUUUUUGUUUAUUUAUUACUGAUUAUUGGAGAUGUUCUUGAGAAAUAAGAGCUAACUCUCCAGACCUCCAGGAACGGGGCGUUACACAUACAA